GACGAACGCUGGCGGCGUGCUUAAUACAUGCAAGUCGAACGGAAAGACCCUGCUUUUGUGGGGUGCUCGAGUGGCGAAGGGGGGAGUAACACGUGAGUAACCUGCCCUUGACUUUGGGAUAACUUCAGGAAACUGGGGCGAAUACCGGAUAGGAUCUCUUGCUGCAUGGUGGGGGUUGGAAAGUGUCGGCGGUUGGGGAUGGAUUCGCGGCUUAUCAGCUGGUUGGUGGGGUAGUGGCUUACCAAGGCUUUGACGGGUAGCCGGCCUGAGAGGGUGACCGGCCACAUGAGGACUGAGAUACGGCCCAGUCUGCUACGGGAGGCAGCAGUGGGGAAUAUUGCGCAAUGGCGCGAAGCCUGAUGCAGCAACGCCGCGUGCGGGAUAACGGCCUUCGGGUUAUAAACCGCUUUCGACUGUGACGAAGCGGGCGUGACGGUACUGGGUAAAGAAGCACCGGCUAACUACGUG
This 468-nucleotide ribosomal RNA is filed under the name uncultured bacterium. RNAcentral's name for it is "partial 16S ribosomal RNA". It matches the Rfam family "Bacterial small subunit ribosomal RNA", at positions 28 to 507 of the family's 1533-position model. The record is from RNAcentral.